GAGACUCUUACUGGCUGCCACGCAGGGGCCACCCGGAUCCUCACUCAUCCCGUUACUAAUCUCAAGGGUUGCGAGGUCAGGGGCGGGCCAGGCCCUGUGGGACUCCUUAAAGAAGAGCAGAGCCCGCCUAGAGGAAGAGGUCCGUGGUCUCUGGGAGCCUGCCACAGGUGCUCUCAUACCACAUGGGGAGGAGAAGAGGAACAAUGGCCAGGUUUCUAUAUUAAUAAGUCCUUGAAUUUCUAGAAAGUCUUUUAGGAGUAUUCAAUGGGUGGAGGAUACAGAGAGUUCACGAUUUACUCAGAUUUUAGCCACUUAUUCUACGUGUGCAUGUGUGUGUGUUUUAUUUCACAAUCCAAAUCAAGCCGUCCAGGUGGCCCUUUCUUACCCACUAGACUCUGUUUUUUCUUUUUCUCAUUCUCCUGGACAAUCAGGGAAGGAAUAAACUGGACUACAUGGAAAUCAAGACUAGAAGAGAGGGAGGAGGAGCUGGAGCUAUCCUACCUCAUCAGUGUUUUGUCUUCUGUUGGGAUGAACUUUGUUAAAACUAAUGCAUGGUUAAGAUGAAAGGCAGAAGGAAGGGUUUGAUAAACCAGAACAUUCUCGCCUGAUUGUUAGUGUUCUGAAGUAAAUACAGAAGAGGCUCCAAAAUACAGACCUCUGUACAUCAACCUUCCGUAAUCCACCUGCCUUGCAUAUGCAGACCAUGACAAUUCUACGAGCUCCUGGAAACAGAACUCAGAACUCCUCCCCAGAGAACCCUGAUGCAAAUUCUCUGAAAUGGUAGUCAGCAUGUGCGUUUUCCUGAGAAGUGAAUGAGUCAACAGCUUUCAACAGAUCUUCAAAGGCUUACUUCACCCAAUGAAGUUAAGAACCACUAAAGAAGAAACCUAAAAGGAAAAUCCAGGUCAUGAACUUUGCAAUUUUUAUUCACAUACAGAGAAGAGGGGAGGAAUCUCUUGUGUAUGUUUUACUUAUGUAUACCACUGGUUCUUAAUAAAGGGCUUUUUUUGCCUCCAGAGGUCAAUGCCUGGAGACAUUUUUGGUUGUCACACCUAGGGAGAUGCUAUUGGGAUCUAGUGAGUAGAGACCAGAGAUGCUGCUAAACAUCCUACAAUGAAGUUUGCUAUCACUCCAAGGUUUUGCAUGCGACUUAAACUGUACAUUUAUUAAUCAAUUGCUACAUGUACUAAAAUAUGUAUCUCUCUCCAUAUAUGUAUAUAUGCGUGUAUUUUUUCAUUAUUGUUGGAUGUAUAGCUCAACUCCACUACAACAGAGGAAAGUAUUUGUUUUAAAGUAGAAUCUGAAUAUACUCACUCUGUAUACCCUCAUCCAUACCUUCAAGAUCUGGUGAAAACACUAUCUCUUGCAAGAACAUUCUUUGAUGCUGUUCAGAAUUAAUCCAGACCCUUUUCUGUAUUCUCUUAAUACCUUAUCUGAUCCUCUCUUAAGUUACUUCUCACUAUCUACCUUAGUAACACAAUUUUAUUUACAUACAAGUUCUCUCUCCCUCACUAGACAAAAACUUCUUGAGGGCAAGCACUGUGUCUCCUUUCAACCAUUAUUAUCUUCUCUCAUGUUUUUUGAACAGAUUUAUCUAUAGCCCAAACAUACCUUUUCAAAAAACUAAAAAUUACUUUACAUAUUUGAUCUAAGGCUUUGUUUUUCUCCAUUAAGAGCAUGCUGUGGAUAUCUUUGCAAGUGAGUGCAUAAGGAUUUUUCUUAACCUUGGAGAUGGCUGUCUAGGAUUUCAGAAUAUCAACUCAUAUUUGUAGCUCCAUGGCAACUCACCUACACAACUCACAACUCUUUAUUGAAGGCAUUCUGUACCAAUAUAAAUAUAGUCCAUAUCCCAUUCUAAUAUGGAUUUCUGCUCCUUGUUGCUUGCUAUUUUGAACACUUUUAGUCUGGUCCAGUCAGGCCUAUAAACCACUUUGCAUCAGAACUUGGCAAUGGUUUGCUGGUUCAGAGGAUUAAGGAGUGGGGUAAGGCUGGCAGAAGGACAGAAGAGAAAAGACUUGAGUAACAACAGGAGGCAAAAGAGUAACUUAGCUUGGCUAAUAGAAUUCUUAUUUGAAAUGCAUCUCUCUAUAUAAGAGUUUGGUUCAAUAAUCACAAUAUAAUAAGUCCUGCAUGUAUCUGGAUGAAGAUAAUUGCUUUUUUCUGUUCAAUGCUUUUCCAUAGCAGAAAUAGCUGGGGCAGAACAAAAUGGUAUCUCUGUUACAGGAUUCUAUAAGGGUAUAGAACUGCUUUUCUCAUAGGUAAAAGGCAGACCGUUUGAAUUUGGCUUUUUAAAAACAGAAGAGUAGGAGGAAAUAACAGCUUGCUCUCUCCACCCUAUUUAAUUGUGAUAUUAAACACCUUAGAUUACUCACUUGGGCUUUAUAAGGCAACCUUCUCCUGUUUCACACAGAGGUGGGUGGUUCUUAUUUAUCAGACUUUUAAAAUAUUCAGGACUUCUUUCCAAAGAAAUAGAUGCAUCACUUAAAAAUAAAUAUCAGACAAUAUUAUUGAUACUUUACAGUACUUAUUUAGCAGUUAAUACUUUUUUAAAAGGCAUUUUCUUAUUUAUCAUUUAGGCAUUUGCAGUGUAAGACAAACUCCCUUGUUUGAUUACGCAUUCACCUGUUCAUUCAUUCAUUCAUUCAAGGAUUUAUUAGGAAAUUAUUUGUGCUGGCUGUGGGUACAAUGAUGAACAAAAGCUUAUACCCUGGCCUCAUAUUUAUGGGUGCAGUAGACACUAAUCAAAUGGUCACAAAAUGUGUAUCUUAUUUCACUGAUUAUAAAAUACAGAUUUUUCACAUUUUAUCAGGGUUCAUGUUAUAAUUGAUGAUCUACUAUAUAUUAUAGUUUAAUUGAUAGCGUAUUUUGUGAUUCAUAAAAUGAGUUUUAUAAUAGAAUUCUAUAAUUAAUAAAAUAUAGAUAUUUACAUAAAUUUAUAGUGUAUCUAUGCCUUUUUUUUCUUUUUUAGAGAUGGGAUCUUGCUAUUUUGCCCAGGCUGGACUUGAACUCCCAGUCUCCAGAAUAGCUGGGACUAUAGGUGCACACCACCACACCUGACAGAGUAUCUAUGCUUUUGAGUGACUACGUGUGCUACAAGAAUGAUUUAAUUGAAUCCUUCGUUUAUUUAACUUAAGAGCAGUCAAUCUUGCUACAUUAUUUUUGUCUGAGAGCGAAUAUUGUGGUAUAAAUUUUUUCUUUUUUUUUUUUUUUUUACAAUUUAAAAUGUUCUCAAAUCAGAAGAAUUGCAAAAGAAUGCAAACAUGUUGGCUGGGCGCUGUGGCUCACAGUGUAAUCCCAACACUUUGAGAAGCUGAGGCGGGAGGAUCACUUGAGCCAGGCCUAAUCCUGAGCUUUUAUUUCAUUAUGCGUGUUAAUUUUCUCAAGAUAGCAAAUGCUAAAUUUUUGUCAUACUUAUACAAAAAGAGAACUGAACUGAACUUUCUUUCUAUAUUUCUGAUCUCUUCUUCUCUGAGCAACUUAUUGGGCUUAUUCUCAGUAAUCAUACAGUUUUGCACUCAAUUGUUUUCUUGGUUUUUUGUUGUUAUUUUUAUCUUGCACUCAAUUGUUUUCUAUUUGUUUACUGUAUGCUACUUUAUUUUCUUCUCCAGUUAUAAGAUAUGCUCCCUAGGGACAUAAAUAGUAUAUGUCUUUUAUGGUGUUACAAAAAUAAGAUGUGCCUGUAGUAAAUAAUUUGGAAACUACAUUAAUGUAUAAUAUAGUAAUCACAUUUUAUCUCAUUAUCCAGAUAAUCACUGUUUUGCUUCUUUUUUUAUUUAUUCUUUCUAUGCAGACAUAGGUAUACAUUUUUAUUAAAGUAAAAUUAUAAUGCUAGUCUCUUUAUUUCCCUACACAAUACCUUGACAAAUUAUGACAAUAUAAUAGGUACCAGACUUGUUAAAUUAUUGAUCAAUUGAUUGUUUAACAAUGGAAUUUUGAGAAAUAUUUGGGUAGAAAAAAAACUAGUUUUAAAAGAAGAGAAUCCAACCAUUAAAACAUCAAAAAAUGAAAUUAUUUGUAAAUAUUAUGUGGCAAUCCAUUCAAUUUUAAACAACUUACAGUGUCAAUAAAACUAUAACUCAAUAAAUUUCUCAGGCAGAGCCCAUCUGCCUCUUCUUUAAUAUGAAUGCAAACUUGAUAUGUGGUUUAGUAAAUUGCUAGAACGAAAUGAUGGCAUAGUUUUGGGUUUUGAGGGGUUUUCUGUGUGUGUGUGUGUGUGUGUGUGUUUGUUUGUUUGUUUUAAACAGGGUCUGGCUCUGUCACCCAGGUUGAAGUGCAGUGACACUAUCUCAGCUCACUGCAACCUUCACCUCCAAAGCUCAAGCCAUUCUCCACCUCAGCCUCCCAAGUAGUUGAGACUAUAGGCAUGUGCCACCACACCCGGCUAAUUUUUGUAUUUUUUGUAGAGACAGGGUUUUGCCAUCUUGCUCAGGCUGGUCUCAAACUCCUGUGCUCAAGAGAUCCACCUGCUUCAUCCUCCCAGGGUGCUGGGAUUACAUGUGUGAGCCACCACACCCAGAGGAAAUGACAUUUGAAGAGAGACUAAAGGAUGAGAAAAAGACAGCCUUCCUGGAAGAGGAAACAGCAAAUGCAAAAACUCUGAGUUAGGAAAGAACUUGAUGCACUUGAGAAACAAAAAGAAGGCCGGCAAGACUGAAAUCCACAUAAGUCAGACCCGGGCACAGCAAACUGGACGUCCUCAGUAUAUAUGUGGCAACUGAAACCAGGCAUUUAGGACAUGAUCUCAUUCUGUUGCCCAGGGUGAGUGCAGUGGCACCUUCAUGGCUCAUUGCAGUCUCGAUCUCCCAGGCUCAAGCGAUCCUCCCACCUCAGCCUCCCAAAGUGCUGGGAUUGCAGGCGUGAGCCACCUUGCCCAGCCCAUUCUGCAAUCUUCGGAAGGAAGUCACUAUAUGCAGCCUAUGCUUGAGGAGUGGGGAGUUGAAUUCCACAUCCUUGAGGGCAGAAUACCUAAAUAAAUUAUUUGGAAUUCUUCUGCAAGAGAGAUUUGUCUCUUCUCCUCCAUUUAUUCAUUUAUUCAAUUAUUUCUUCAUGUCAUAAAAUCAUGAAUAUUUAUUUUAUAUGUUGCAUUAUAAACCAACAGUACUUUUUAAGAAAUCAAAUUGUUCCAGGCUUGGCCAUUAGGAGCUCUUUCAGUUGGCUUCUGUGCCCUUUGACAUAGCCCCACCAAUGUAGGGUGGUUUUGUCUUUUGGUUUUGGAGCAUUUUCUUACUUUUUGGCACUGUAAGAUGCUCCAGGCUGAUCUCGUGUAUUCCUGUGUAAAAUCAGCCAUUUCUCAAAGGAACACUUGUUCCUUUUAUCGGUGAAUGGUAUAAGCAACCAAUAUCUGGGUGACAGAGUGUUCCCUGCUGCAGGGGAAUUGUUGCUCUAGGCCCUUUCAGCUGACAGAGCAAAGAAAUAUGUGUGUAUAUCAACCAAGGCAUAUAUACACAUCAAUAAUAUUUCUAUAUCUAAUCAUCUAUAUUUCUAUUAAAUUAAACAUAAGUUCAUACUAAUUAAGAGAUAUUUUUAUUUUAUAGUAUUUUGUACUAUUUGAGGUGAUUUUUUAAUAGGUCAAUUUGUUACUUUGUCAAUCAUUUUAAAAGAAAUUAUAUUAUGUUUCAAAUGCCCUAGUGAUAAGAUAAAUUAUAUAUACGUAUGUCUUGAUAGUUGUGGAUUACUAGAUGCAAAACAAAUGGUCUAUUGGUAUUGUUUGUUUGUUUGUUUGUUUUAGAGACAGGGUCACACUCUGUCACCCAGGCUGGAGUGCAGUGGUGUGAUGAUAGCUCAUUGCAGACUCGAUCUCCUGGGCUCAAGCGAUCCUUCCACCUCAGCCUUCCAAAUAGCUGGGAUUACAGGCAUGCACCACCAUACCUGGCUAGUUUUUAAUUUUUUGUAGAGAUGGGGUCUCACUAUGUUGCCUAGGAUAGUCUUGAAUUCCUGGUCUCAAGUGACC
RNAcentral lists this long non-coding RNA (5950 nucleotides) under Homo sapiens (human). RNAcentral describes it as "HSALNT0342561". The record is from RNAcentral. Lineage: Eukaryota; Metazoa; Chordata; Mammalia; Primates; Hominidae.